Molecule: ribosomal RNA, 340 nt
Filed under: uncultured cyanobacterium
Lineage: Bacteria; Bacillati; Cyanobacteriota
Description: bacterial SSU rRNA
Rfam family: Bacterial small subunit ribosomal RNA
Source: RNAcentral
UCUUGGGUUGUAAACCUCUUUUCUCAGGGAAGAACACAAUGACGGUACCUGAGGAAUAAGCAUCGGCUAACUCCGUGCCAGCAGCCGCGGUAAUACGGAGGAUGCAAGCGUUAUCCGGAAUGAUUGGGCGUAAAGCGUCCGCAGGUGGUUUAUCAAGUUUGCGGUUAAAGGUUCUGGCUCAACCAGAGACAGGCCGUGAAAACUGAUAGACUAGAGUAUGGUAGGGGCAGAGGGAAUUCCCAGUGUAGCGGUGAAAUGCGUAGAGAUUGGGAAGAACACCGGUGGCGAAAGCGCUCUGCUAGGCCAAAACUGACACUGAGGGACGAAAGCUAGGGGAGCG